CGAAAUAGUGAUAUAGAGCAAAACCCUAAAAACGGUCUCAGUUCGGAUUGAAGGCUGAAAUUCGCCUUCAUGAAGCUGGAAUUGCUAGUAAUGGCAGGUCAGCAUACUGCCGUGAAUACGUUCCCGGGCCUUGUACACACCGCCCGUCACACCAUGAGAGUUGGGAAUACCCGAAGCCUGUGAGCUAACUUAUAGAGGCAGCAGUCGAAGGUAGAAUCAAUGAUUGGGGUGAAGUCGUAACAAGGUAUC
Molecule: ribosomal RNA, 249 nt
Filed under: uncultured bacterium
Lineage: Bacteria
Description: partial 16S ribosomal RNA
Rfam family: Bacterial small subunit ribosomal RNA
Source: RNAcentral